AGCGAACGCUGGCGGCAGGCCUAACACAUGCAAGUCGAACGAACCUUUCGGGGUUAGUGGCGGACGGGUGAGUAACACGUGGGAACGUGCCUUUAGGUUCGGAAUAACUCAGGGAAACUUGUGCUAAUACCGAAUGUGCCCUUCGGGGGAAAGAUUUAUCGCCUUUAGAGCGGCCCGCGUCUGAUUAGCUAGGUGGUUGAGGUAAUGGCUCACCAAGGCGACGAUCAGUAGCUGGUCUGAGAGGAUGAUCAGCCACAUUGGGACUGAGACACGGCCCAAACUCCUACGGGAGGCAGCAGUGGGGAAUCUUGCGCAAUGGGCGAAAGCCUGACGCAGCCAUGCCGCGUGAAUGAUGAAGGUCUUAGGAUUGUAAAAUUCUUUAACCGGGGACGAUAAUGACGGUACCCGGAGAAGAAGCCCCGGCUAACUUCGUG
This 434-nucleotide ribosomal RNA is filed under the name uncultured bacterium. RNAcentral's name for it is "partial 16S ribosomal RNA". It matches the Rfam family "Bacterial small subunit ribosomal RNA", at positions 29 to 507 of the family's 1533-position model. The record is from RNAcentral.